This 410-nucleotide ribosomal RNA is filed under the name Bombus dahlbomii. RNAcentral describes it as "partial 12S small subunit ribosomal RNA". Lineage: Eukaryota; Metazoa; Arthropoda; Insecta; Hymenoptera; Apidae. The record is from RNAcentral.
GGGAUUAGAUACCCCACUAUAUAAAAUAAUUUAAAUCAAUUUAUUAGUAAAUGUAUAAUCAUUAAAAUUAAAUUAUAUGGCGGCUUUUCAUUCUUAUUAGAGAAAUUUGUAGUUUAAUUUGAUAAUCCACGAUAAGAUCUACUUAAAUUAUAUUUAUAUAUUGUUGUCAUUAGUUAUUAUAAAAAAUAAUUUUUAACUAAUAUUUAAUUUAAAAUAAUUAAUCAAAUCAAAAUGUAGUAUAUUUAAGAAUUUAUGAAUUAUAAUAAAUUUUAUUUUUGGAUAAUUAAUUUUAAUAUUAAUUUGAAAGUGAAUUUAAAAGUAAAUUUAAUAAAUUAAUUAAAUUGAAAUUAGUUUUGAAAAGUGUACAAAUUGCCCGUCAAUUUCGAAAAUAAGGAAUAAGUCGUAACAUA